This is a long non-coding RNA of Triticum urartu, 2877 nucleotides long. RefSeq lists it as uncharacterized. NCBI's taxonomy places the organism in Eukaryota, Viridiplantae, Streptophyta, Magnoliopsida, Poales, Poaceae. The record is from RefSeq and is a predicted model, not a curated record.
UCAGGCCAAACCGGUAUGGAGGAGAGAAAAGAAAAAAAAAAUUAGCCAGCCGCACGACACUGCCUCCUCGAUCCCAUCUCCACCUCCUGCGCUGCCCGUCCCCGCCGCCGCCGCCUCCUGCCCCGCCCCGCGCUCCCUGCCGCCGCCACCUCCUGCCCCGCCCCGCCGUGCGCUGUGCGGCUGCUCGCCGCGCUCUUGAAGGACCUCGAGGCCUGCUGCCCCGCCCGGCGCAACCACCUUGCUCGAGGUUGGGCGAGCGCGGAAUCAGAGUUCGGGACGGCAGCGGACGGCGCUCCUCUCGGUCGUCCUCUUCCCGACGGCAGGCGAGGCAGGAGGACGCGGAUCCGGCUGCUCCGGCGUGGAUCCGAAGGCGGGGCGGAGGGAUCGAGGAGGGGGAGCACGAGGCCAAUGGAGAGGUGGCCAGGCGGGGUGCUGCGGUUGUCCAUGGCGAAAACAACGUCGCUUCCCCGUGCCCUCGCACCGGUCCUCCGCCACCCCCUCGCCUCCCUCCGCUCUAGGCCCGUCUCGAGCCGCCAGAAGCAACUACUGGUCUCUAGCCACCGCCCUCGCCUCACUCCUCCCCGGUCGUCGUUGCUGCCAAGGAAGUAGCUGGCGGAAUGCGGCGAGCCCCGAUCUCCUCCACAACAGCCGAUGCCUCUUCCUGUAGCGAGCUCACCCUGUACGCGCCUUCUGCAGGAGCAGGACGAGGCUCCCAAACGCAGCGAGCUGCUUGCGUAGGUCAGGUUGCUCCCUCCUGCUUCUCUGGCCCACCCAUUCCUAGCAGUUUUAUUAAAAAAAUACUGAUACGAAAAUGUGUGUAGGCAGAUCAUUGUAGCAUAUAAGUGGAUUAGGCAAUUGUUUUCCCCUGUGUUUGAUAAGUUAGUAGCUCCAGUUAUUUUUUAUGGAUGUUAUUUACUUUUGGAUACAUUCCCAUCUGAACAAUCGAAGCUUGGGUAAUGCUGGAUGUUAUUAUAGUCAUGCCAUCCUAGUGUAAUUUACUAUCUACUUGCAUGGAUCCCUACACAUAAUGUAUGUAAUUUCUAACCAGUUCCAGAUACUGUGUUGACUUUCUUUUCUAAUGAUUGCCCCUAAGCGCUGGUGGUUGGAGAUAAAGUUUAGCCAAGAUGUUAUUCUGAUGCUUCUUCAAUGAAUUUUCCUGAUGGAAUCCGGGAUGUUCUUCACCUUUAUCAUGUAACGCCCCAGAUUUGUGGGAUGUGGGCAGCUGAACAUAGGGUUAUCCGUGAAAUACAAUCUGUAAAAUAAAGUAAUACAAUCUGGAAGAUAGAUACAGGGAUGAACACUCAGCAAAGGAUUGUGCCCCCAUGCCUAGGGCCUGGCUACGCCACUGCCUGUAGCUGUUAUUAAACAAGAUCCCAACUGAAUGUAAAACACAAUGCUGCCUACACGCUAUGUAAGGCUAAAUGUAUAUUGCACCUAUAAUUUAUAACUACAGGUUCUCCAAGAUAGACAAAGGCUUCCUUCAUACUUGAAGCAAAGCUUUUUUUAUAUCUUCAUGUCAUAUGAGUUGUAGUUUUUCGGAUCAUCUACACACUUCAGAGAAGUUACUUUAGGUUGCUAAAAGCAAGAUAAAGUAAUACAUGAUGUGCAUGUUUGACACAAUUAUCCCCGAUUCUGAAUUUAGCUAUUUGUAUUUUUCAUUUUAGUGGAACUUCGGUACACAUGACCACAGUAACAUUAUUUUCACAAUGUCACUAGAGACGAGGGCAACCUUAUUUGUGACAAUUAUUAGAGUUGGAUAGAAGAAGUGGUGUGUAGUGGCAUCUAACGAAUUGUGAAAUGAGCGACAUCUAACAAUUCUCACUAAAUUUGAGUACUCGCCUUUUUUGUCCCGUUGCAACGCACGGGCAAUUUACCUUUCUGUUCUUAUGAAAUGAAGAUUUGGAAAGGAGGAACAGGGUACUGAACUUUUAUAUAUCUGCAUAAUCUACAUCCGAAGUUAAGCAGUACACAAAUUACUAAAUGGAGGAACAUGGCAAUUUUAAGCUUACUACAUGCAGAAUUAUGUCGCUGCAGCUCUUUUAGUACUCAUGUGUAGAUUUUCCUACAGCAAUAUUACUUGCAUUCAGUUUCGUGCCGUCAUGGAAAUUCAUAUGUGCGUUCUGCAGCAUGUUCAGAAUAAUACUUUGCAAGGGACAACAGCCCGACGUCGAGCAGUAGCAGCAACAUGUUCUGCAGCUUCGAUGACCCUGAUGAAUCUGCUAUAGUGCUCAACUCCUGCUAGGAGGGCAUGGAGGAGUUUCCCCUUGAACUCCACGACCUGAUUCUCAGAUCAUUGUUCUACUGACGCUCACUUCACCUGAACGGCUGGAGCAGAUGAUAGUGGAUAUACCCAGUGUAGUAUAUUGUUAUAAGGUUGUGUAUUAGCUUCCAGUGAUUUUGCUCUCACUGGUAUCUCGAUAAAGCUUGAAGUAUAUGCGGAUGUCUUGCUCAGUUCAAUUAGUAAUAGUAUUAGCUUGAAGCGCCAUCCAUACUCAGUUUCAACUAGACACCUCCAUGGAUAGCUCCCUUGCCAUUAUAUUGAAGGUUAGUGUUGUUACCUGUUGCUCAACGUUGCACUUUUAGUACUCUAGCUGCUUUGUAGGCGAAAUCGCCACCACCUGCAACCGUGCCCUCAGGCUUCCCUCAGACCGUCCUUAUCAACUGUAGUCUCUGCUCGCCCAUGUUAAGUCCCUCCUUUUAGAAAGGGCCUCCCUCGACGGUGGCCUCCCCUGGAAGCUCUUGAACCUACAAUGGAGUUGGUUCCCUGUCAGUAUGAAAUUCUUGCGUUUGGCCGUCAGACUAUUAGUUGUAACCAUGUUAUUCUGUCAAGCUUUUCCAUUGAGUUGCCGAAACAAUAUCAAAGUAGAAGAUGUUAAA